RNAcentral lists this ribosomal RNA (474 nucleotides) under Salmonella enterica. RNAcentral's name for it is "partial 23S ribosomal RNA". It matches the Rfam family "Bacterial large subunit ribosomal RNA", at positions 1154 to 1602 of the family's 2925-position model. Lineage: Bacteria; Pseudomonadati; Pseudomonadota; Gammaproteobacteria; Enterobacterales; Enterobacteriaceae. The record is from RNAcentral. RNAcentral also lists the same sequence under 1 other name.
CGUAUCACCCAAGACAACUUUACGGAGUUGACGAUUGACGGAGCGAAGCGACGUCAAAGCGUUCAUUAAAGUCGAGUUGGCUUAGGGAUACGUUCGUUGGGUAGGGGAGCGUUCUGUAAGCCUGUGAAGGUGUGUCGUGAGGCAUGCUGGAGGUAUCAGAAGUGCGAAUGCUGACAUAAGUAACGAUAAAGCGGGUGAAAAGCCCGCUCGCCGGAAGACCAAGGGUUCCUGUCCAACGUUAAUCGGGGCAGGGUGAGUCGACCCCUAAGGCGAGGCCGAAAGGCGUAGUCGAUGGGAAACGGGUUAAUAUUCCCGUACUUGGUGUUACUGCGAAGGGGGGACGGAGAAGGCUAUGUUGGCCGGGCGACGGUUGUCCCGGUUUAAGCGUGUAGGUGUGUGUUCCAGGUAAAUCCGGUUCACUUUAACACUGAGGCGUGACGACGAGGCACUACGGUGCUGAAGCAACAAAUGCCC